RNAcentral lists this ribosomal RNA (253 nucleotides) under uncultured bacterium. Its description in RNAcentral is "partial 16S ribosomal RNA". It matches the Rfam family "Bacterial small subunit ribosomal RNA", at positions 524 to 776 of the family's 1533-position model. The record is from RNAcentral.
GACAGAGGAUGCGAACGUUGUUCGGAAUUACUGGGCGUAAAGCGCAUGUAGGCGGCAGCGCAAAUCGGGCGUGAAAUCCCACGGCUCAACCGUGGAAGUGCACUCGAAACUGCGCAGCUAGAGUCCUGGAGAGGAAGGUGGAAUGCUUGGUGUAGAGGUGAAAUCCGUAGAUAUCGGGAGGAACACCAGAGGCGAAGGCGGCUCUCUGGCUCAUUUCUGACGCUGAGACGCGAAAGCGUGGGGAGCAAACAGG